GUGAGGAAUAUUGGUCAAUGGGCGCAAGCCUGAACCAGCCAUGCCGCGUGCAGGAAGACGGUCCUAUGGAUUGUAAACUGCUUUUAUUUGGGAAUAAACUCCGGUACGUGUACCGGCCUGAAGGUACCAAAUGAAUAAGCACCGGCUAACUCCGUGCCAGCAGCCGCGGUAAUACGGAGGGUGCAAGCGUUAUCCGGAAUCAUUGGGUUUAAAGGGUCCGCAGGCGGUCUUAUAAGUCAGUGGUGAAAGCCUACAGCUCAACUGUAGAACUGCCAUUGAUACUGUAGGACUUGAAUUCGAUCGAAGUGGGCGGAAUGUGACAUGUAGCGGUGAAAUGCUUAGAUAUGUCACAGAACACCGAUAGCGAAGGCAGCUCACUAGGUCUGGAUUGACGCUCAUGGACGAAAGCGUGGGGAGCAAACAGGAUUAGAUACCCGGGUAGUCC
Molecule: ribosomal RNA, 445 nt
Filed under: uncultured bacterium
Lineage: Bacteria
Description: bacterial SSU rRNA
Rfam family: Bacterial small subunit ribosomal RNA
Source: RNAcentral